RNAcentral lists this ribosomal RNA (251 nucleotides) under uncultured bacterium. Its description in RNAcentral is "partial 16S ribosomal RNA". It matches the Rfam family "Bacterial small subunit ribosomal RNA", at positions 80 to 334 of the family's 1533-position model. The record is from RNAcentral.
CCAAAAGCUGGCGACCAGCGCACGGGUGAGUAACACGUAUCCAACCUGCCUCAUACUCGGGGAUAGCCUUUCGAAAGAAAGAUUAAUAUCCGAUAGCAUAUAUUUCCCGCAUGGGUUUUAUAUUAAAGAAAUUCGGUAUGAGAUGGGGAUGCGUUCCAUUAGUUUGUUGGGGGGUAACGGCCCACCAAGACUACGAUGGAUAGGGGUUCUGAGAGGAAGGUCCCCCACAUUGGAACUGAGACACGGUCCAA